Sinocyclocheilus grahami is the source of this 1254-nucleotide RNA transcript. It is a transcript of the gene named transmembrane protein 189-like, with no coding region annotated. Lineage: Eukaryota; Metazoa; Chordata; Actinopteri; Cypriniformes; Cyprinidae. The record is from RefSeq and is a predicted model, not a curated record. The transcript is spliced from 7 exons.
CCAGCGAGCGGGAAAGGGGGCUGCGGGUGUGAGCGAUGGUGCAGGGGGUUGCAGGGGAGCACGUUGUUGUCAGGACUGUAUUAAUGAGCGCGCCGCUCAGGUCCCGUGGACAGGGGGACGGUGUUCCUGGCUGCGCACGGCGACGGCGGCUCUGUCGAGGCCUGGCCUAGUUUCUGCCCUCACCGGGGAGCGCGAGGAUCCAAGGACUGACGCUGAUCACCUGACAGCGGCCCCACUGCUGCUAGAGAGUGUGUACGCACAUGUCUGUGUGUGAGAAAGAAAAAAGACAGGAAAGAGAGGACGCAAGUGCUGGAGUGGGAAAGCGGCUGCAGGAAUGGAUCUGUGUAAUUCUGUGCCUCUCGCUCUUCGCUCUUAACCUCUCCUUCCUCUUCCUCAACUUCUCCACAGUGCACAUCUACAGAAUCAUCUUUGGCAUUGUGACUGGUAUUGUGACAGCAGAUUUUGCCUCUGGGAUCGUACAUUGGGGAGCUGAUACAUGGGGUUCAGUGGACAUCCCAGUAAUUGGGAAGGCAUUUAUUCGCCCAUUCCGGGAGCACCACAUUGAUCCGACGGCUAUCACACGGCAUGACUUCAUAGAGACUAAUGGAGACAACUGCAUGAUCACCAUCCUGCCUCUGGCCCACAUGGCCUAUAAAUUCCUCUCCUACCCACCAGAUGCCCUUGCAGAGUCCUACCCCUGGGAAUGUUUUGUUUUUGCGUUGGCGGUCUUUGUAACCAUGACUAAUCAGAUCCACAAGUGGUCCCACUCCUACUUCGGCCUGCCACUCUGGGUCACACUACUGCAGGACUGCCACCUAGUGCUGCCACGGAAACACCACCGGAUCCAUCAUGUGUCGCCACAUGAGACGUACUACUGCAUCACCACAGGUUGGUUGAACUACCCGCUGGACAAAGUGGGUUUUUGGCGGACAAUGGAUUGGUUGAUCGAGAAAUUGACGGGUCAGAAGCCACGCAGUGAUGACCUGGCCUGGGCCAAGAAAUCCGAGUGACCAGGAUAGCAGGACUGAAUUCCCUCCCUCAUCCAUCUCAGAGACAUAAAUAAUGGGCCUUAACUCUGUAACCCAAAACCUCUCUCCUAUAAUGUUCCUGUGUCCCUCUGUCUCCCCUAAACCAUCUUCUCUACAGCACAGAACCACAGAUCACACUUACUGCUGGGGCCUUUUCCUGUCACUGAGGUCUGCUACACACUUCCUCCUCAGUUUUGUAGAUGUCCAUACGCAACGAAAUAGUAGA